Anguilla rostrata (American eel) is the source of this 5905-nucleotide RNA transcript. RefSeq lists it as uncharacterized. NCBI's taxonomy places the organism in Eukaryota, Metazoa, Chordata, Actinopteri, Anguilliformes, Anguillidae. The transcript has 10 exons. The record is from RefSeq and is a predicted model, not a curated record.
AGAGAGAGAGAGAGAGAGAGAGAGACUGACAGACGGAGAGAGAGCAAGAUUUAUCAUUUGCAAAAUGGGAAACUGUGCAGUUGUUUUUGGCUUUUGGUUUGGCAAGGUUUUUCGCUUGCACAUCAUUACAGAAAUGACAGAAUAGAUGACAUGGCAUCCUUUUAUUCACAGUAGCAAUAUACUUAGUUAACGUGCACAAUAAUUUCUUCACUAUGGUUUCUUUAUUUUUUCUGUUUAUCUUCAUCGAGUACAAAACUGCUGAAGGCUUGGUUAACCCUGCUCCUAUAGUAUUCGGGGAUAUAGGGCAAAAUGUGACCAUCCACAGCCGUAUCAAAGAAAUAUCGAACUAUUACACGCGCAUUAGCUGGUACCGUCUGAGACCGAGUGGAAAGGUAGAGCGCCUCGCUUACUUCAGCUCAUACACCACGAAGAGGGGCCGUUACAGCGGAGAGCUUCCCAAAGGCUCUGAUACUGCGUAUCUAAACUUCUCGAGCGCCACAAUCGCCGACUCCGGACGCUACUUCUCCGUGGCGGGCACUGCUCUAAACUUAACACCUGGCUCCUACUCAGUUUUAGCCAUAACAGAUCCCAAGAGCCUCCCUGUAAUGCGCGUGUUCCUCAAUCGCACAGGGGCCGUUGUUUGUGAAUUGAAAGGUGGGGGUCCAACCUGGAGUGAUCCACAGUGGGAAACAGAUGAUGCCAAAGACGGGCUGACGUUGCAGGCUGAAACUUUUAUAGACGCGCAGGACGCAUUCAUACGGUCCUCCAUCCUCUCUUUGAAAGACGGGAUCCGUGCUUUGAACUGUGUAUGUAGGCACAUCACUGGAGUCAUUAUUCGAACUCGGGUCAUGCAAGAUAGCAAGGAUCAGUGCCGGCUGCUGCUGUACCUAUCUCCCCUGGCUGUGGUGCUGCUGCUGGUGACUGUGACAGCCAGUGGGCUGUGGGCCUGGAGACGGAGGAAGCAGAGCCCUAUAGCACAGGGAAUGGACAGCACAUACGGGAUCUGAUCUGGAUUUGUAACUCAGGGGUUGUAGGUUUCAUUCCCCAAUGAGACUCUACCACUGUACUUUGGCACAAUGUGCCUGCACUGUUUCAGUACACAUCCAGCUGUAAAAAUGGAUUGAGUGUUCAAAGAAAGUAAUUUGCUCUGACAAGAGCAUCUGUUGAAUGUCUAAAAUCCAAUAGGACUUGAAGGAGCAUUUCUUUAUUUUCUUUACUUUGUAGACGUCACAGCAGUAUUUGCAGAUUAAAAACAUUUUUGGCCCAUUUGCGGCUCUCUACACUUGUGCUUGCUUAGAGGAUGAUGCUGCGCAGUUUCGUUACUUUGAGUGAUUCGAUUUGAGUAGUUUUAUCAUGCCUUAAUUUAAGUUAAAGGUUUAUGUUGUACAAUUGUAUUGUAAGUUGUGUGUUUUGACAAACUUAUUGCAAUCGAAUGAAAUAAAAAAAUCUUGACAAGAGCAAAUGACAAUGUUUAACCAAAAUUUUUUCAAACUGUUUCUUUUUUCUAUUUCUCAGAAAUACUGUGGUCAUGACUGUGGUGCUAUGUCAGACCAUGGAAACAUUUGUAAUUAUAGCCUUGCAGCAAGAAAUAGCUAUGUACACAGGCAACAACACUAUCAGGCAGUCAAGCAAGGGAAGUGGUCCACCACCUUCGCAAAAUAGCUCAAACCACAGGUGAUGCAUUGCAAUGUGACUGUACAAUUUCAGUAAGCUUCUUCAUCAAGGCCUAUAAUGUCAUUUUUUAGAUGAGCUUAGACUGGCCUAUAUUAAAUUCAGGUUGCAAUACAAAGUUAAAUAUCUUUUGCUUUUAGAUUAACAUUUAUAAAACACAGUUCUCAGUGGAGCGUCCUGUCAUUUGAAAGGACAUCAGGACUGGCAGGAGUGUGCUGGUCAUGUUGAAUGCAGGUACACAAAUGCAUUAUGUAAAAAGUUAUUAGCUCAUUUUGCAUGAGCACCAUAAGGAAACUGUGUAUCUCAAGAAAUAACAACAAAAAACAGGGCACACGAGUGACUCCCAGCUGAGGCAAAUUUGAGGAGAAACCAAUUCCAUUUUUGUUGACAAAAUGUAUAUUUUUUAGUAAAAUUUGACAACGAUACAUUGACCAUGCUGGAAUGUGUAGCUGUGCACAAACUUAAUUUAAAAGGCUGGUGGCAUAAUUGCAGACAUAAUCUCCAUAAUCAUCACAAUGUGAUUGUUUCAUGCCACAAACUUUGAUUAUGAACCCAAAACUUACAAUGGCUAUUGGUUGCCUUUUGACCAGGGUACAAUUUUGGUAUGUCCUAAAAGGACACAAGAGAAGAGUUGGUCUGGGUUUGCGUAGUAUAUCAUGAGGAAUAAGGCUUUUCAUAAAUUCAGUAAUAAAAUACACAAUAAUAAUAAUAAUAAUAAUAAUAAUAAUAAUAAUAAUAAUGUGAUGGCUGCCUUGCUCCACUUGCCUGGUUUUGUCAGGUUCUCUUGAGUUCCUGAACAGGAAGCUGGUGGGCGAGGUUGGGAAGAGUUCAAUUGAGGCACACCUGUGCUUAGUGCCCUAUUUAACUCUCUUUCACCCAUUCUGGGGCUGGCUUGUCUGUUUGCUUUCCCUCUCUCUCAGUAUGUUGGUACACUUGAGUUGUCUCAUCUUACAACAUUUGUCAUGAUACUUUUCACUGAUCCCUGCACACAAGCAUACACAAUGAAUAGCCAAUACACUUCCACACCUCAUGUUUUUAUGAUUUAUCAUGAUUUAUCACUACCAUAAAAAUGCCUUUGGUUGGCUGACCGUAUAGCAGCUAAAAGAAUGCUUGCACAGAGGUGGGAGCCACCACUAUGUCCUAGGGCCUCAUUUAUAAAAAUGUUCUUAGAUUUAUACUUGAACUUAGUCUUAAGAUCAUUUCCAACGGUUUCAUAAAAGAUACUGAGCAUAACACCUUGCUUACCCAGGUUCUAAGAAGCCCAUUUGUAACUUACUUACCAGUGAUCUAUAAAUCUCAAAUUAACUUAAAAUUGACGGCACCUGAACGUGCCUUACAAUCAGCAUUUUCGCCUUGUAUAAUGCUAGCACAAAUGAGGGUUUAGUCAGGAAUAACAAUGGGCCAAAAUAGAAAAGCAAUCUUUUUGGAAGACGCUAUCACGGCGAUGGUAGAGGAGAUUGAAGACAGACAGCACGUAUUAUUUGGUGGAUUAAAUAGUGGGUUGACAAACAAAGCCAAACAGGUAGCUUGGGAGUGUGUCGCCACUGCAACGAAUGAGGUGGGGCAGCAAGACACAACUGUGGCUGAUCUGAAAAAGAAAUGGUCUGACCAUAAACUGCAAGGGGGAAAAAAAUAGCCAUACAUAACCAGCAGGAAAAUAACUUACGUCAAGUCUAGACUUUGCGUAGACAUAAGAUCAUUUCCACUUCAAAGUAAGGUUUGAUUUUUACUUGGUUUUCUGCGCAAGUCAUACUUAAGAUCAAAAUUGAUCGUAAGUCCGUUUUAUAAAUGAGGCCCCAGGUCUCAUUGGGUGAAUAGCUUCCUUGAUAUUAUUUAUAUGGAAACAUAAAUAGCUCAGAUACAUAGAGCUAGAGAAAUUUGAUGUGUGGUACUCAGCAGCUGUUAGUGUUAAUUAGUCCCCAUUGUGAUUUCAAGUAACUGAUUUAAACUAGUUUUUUUUUCUUGUUUCAUCUCUCUUUUUUAAUGAACUUCCAAGCCAGGUUGUGACAAUAACAAUUAUUAUACUACUACUACUACCAAUAAUAAUAAUAAUAAUAAUAAUAAUAAUAAUAAUAAUAAUAAUGUUGAUGAAAGAAAGAAAAAAUGCAAAGCUAAGACAGUAAAUCUACAAUUUUUUAUUUGAUAACACAUUGCGUUAUUAGCAUAAUGAUAAAUUGAAACCGUGAGAAAAUGACUCAGUGUUUUACAUUAGAGCCGUUUUUGUUUUUUUUUUGCAUGCAAGCCUGCAUGCAUGGAGUUGUGCUUGUCCUUAAAGGCCAAACAAGUAAAUAACAAGUGGUUUCAGCGUGGUUGGAAUUUUGGUGGGCUUUUGUUUCUUAAAAGCAGUCGGCAGAUCUAAAAACCACGCAGCCUCGAUGUUGUUUGUGCGCAAACAGUUAACGUCGGAGAUGGUUGAGACACAGCCUUGGACGGCCUACUUCUCUUUCAAACAGUUUAGUUGCGGUUAUUUCUGCGGGUUUUUUCAGUUUCGAUCGUUCGAAAUGGCCGAGAAACGGUUGUGUGUGUGGCGAAAGUGUGUUCCAUUAACGGAAACUCGCCCUUUGGUUUUUAGGUGAGAAGGCGAGCCUGAACUUGACACGCAUAUCUGUAAGCAGUCAGUCUUAUCUGGCAGACGAAACCGGACUGAUACACUUGCACCAUCGGGUUCUGCGGACAUGCCACAGGUUCUCCAUUUCAUACUCUUCGCUCUGUCCUGCACCGGUUCCGUCACUUGCUCGAUCGUGUUCGCCAGAGCGGGUGAGGAUGCCACACUCAGUUGCCAGUGUUCCAAGAACCAUGGCUGUUACAAAGAGCUUGUCCGCUGGGUUCGAAUGAAUUCGAAUGAGACGCUGCAAAUUAUCGAUACUAAAUGUGAGAAAUCGCCGUGCCGAUUCACCAGCAAAAGAACAGACGAUAUCUGGGUUGCCCUGACGAUUUUACAGGUGGAAUCAGGGGAUUCUGGGCGGUAUUACUGUGGAGAGCACCUCAGUAGCUACCUCCAGUUUACCGAUAAUGGGACCGUUUUAACGGUCGGAGAUGUCUGGACAAACAGCAGUGAAUUGCAUUUGCUGAAUGAAUGGACAGGUGAGGGUGGAAGCCCAGAGCUGGAUUGGAGUGAAGCUCAAACAUCAAACAGUAGUCAAGAGUUUAUGUCUAAAUGGAGGUAUGAGACUAAAGCGAGUGACUUCCUGGAUGUACGGCACACUGAGUUGCGCUGUGUAGUGACCAGACUCAGUGCCCCCUGGGUAAAUAUCUACUGGCGGUCGACCCGCGAAUCAUGGGAAAAAACUGGCCAGACCUCGUCUUUGUCAGCCACCGAGAGAGGGUACAGGGUAGAGAGCCAGUUGCGAAUUGGACUAAAAGUGAAGUCUGACUGGGAGGAUGAGUAUGAGUACGAGCACGAGUACGGGUACCUAGAUAAGAUGGUGGAAAUGGAUGAAGAAUUGUGGUGUGAGGUCCAGGUUGGGGUGAAUGUCUCUGUUCAGAGCCCAAAGUUUUCAUUCCGUCAGCAAACCCAUACUGACUCUGGUUCAGAACCAUCAGCGACAGAAGCGUCACCAACACUGAACUCUUGCAGAUGUGUCCUCGGACAUCACCUAUGCUCAUCUGGAUAUCAGGAAACAACCCAAGACAGAGAGACGACAAAGACAGAAGAGCAGACAGAAGAACAGUCAGGAAGACAGACUGGUGUACAGCGAAGUGAGAUACAAAUGUGAAGACAGAGUACUGCAUGGGUGAAAGACAGAGAUUUGGAUACCUACAGAAAGACCCGCUGAUACUGCAAGACCUGCUUGUGGGGAGAAGGAAAGAGAGGCAAACAAAGACAGGCAGUCAAUUAGGUUUCUGAAAAUUCUGUGUUUCUGUCUCUCAUUGUAAACUUGCAGGGUUUGUCAUUUCUACCCAACCUUCUAAUUUUGGGGAAACAUUAACAGAAAUAUUUGCCUCCAUAAGAACAGUGCUUCCUAAAUGUUUAUUACAUCACAUUUCGUUUGAAGAUCUUUUUUUCUGCAGCAAGACAAAAUAACACAAUUAAUGUGCUACUUGUCACAAUGUUUCAUAAUUUUUCUGUUGAUUGAUGAGAAAUGUGCAGACUGUGCUGGAUUUAUCUUAAGUGAACAGUUUGGGCAAUUACUUUGUUGCCUUAGCUCAUGUUUUAUAUGAUGAAUUAUUCAGUCAUUAAUUAUUAAAAAUGUUCAAUUUUUUCUCAGCUCAAAAUAAAUUCCUGUGAUGCUAA